GUGGGCAGGAGGGAAUGAUACAGUCUCUCCUGUUUCCACUCAAGAGAGGAGAGAGGGGAGGUGGGCAGGAGGGAAUGAUACAGUCUCUCCUGUUUCCACUCAAGAGAGGAGAGAGGGGAGGUGGGGAGGAGGGAAUGAUACAGUCUCUCCUGUUUCCACUCAAGAGAGGAGAGAGGGGAGGUGGGCAGGAGGGAAUGAUACAGUCUCUCCUGUUUCCACCCAAGAGAGGAGAGAGGGGAGGUGGGCAGGAGGGUAUGACAGUCUCUCCUGUUUCCACCCAAGAUGUAAAUGCUCCUGCAUGUCAUCCAUCCAUCCAUCCUGCUCUCUGGUCCAGUGUCAUGUGUUUGUUGAUGAUCAUUAGUGUCAUAUGUACUGCGUAUGUUUUCAUUUCAUUCUGCAUAUUACACAUUUCAAAAUGUCUGUAUUAGUAUCAGCGGUUCAUCUUUCUUUGGCGAUGUUAAUAGGGAGCAUAAAAACUUCAUGUUUCUUUCUUUUUGUAUGUAUCCUUUGCUCUGUUUUAAAUUACACUCAAAAUAAAAUUCAUUCCCAUCCUCUGAACUUCACCCCUCCCCCCCUCGUUGUUCUUGUGACAUCUUCAAGUGACAGAUCAACAUCAAAAACACUACUCCAAAAAUUGGUUAUAAGAAUGGAUAUUGAUAUUUUUCAUUUUUCAUUGCUAUCAAAUGUUUAAUGAUAAACAAAUAUAGCCAAAUAAUAGGCCUUCUGGUGGUGACCCUCUAAAGGGCUGUAGAGGAAGGAAGGACCAGAGGAAGACAUUUCAACUCAG
Molecule: long non-coding RNA, 787 nt
Organism: Clupea harengus (Atlantic herring)
Lineage: Eukaryota; Metazoa; Chordata; Actinopteri; Clupeiformes; Clupeidae
Source: Ensembl